Non-coding RNA from Sphaeramia orbicularis (orbiculate cardinalfish), 73 nucleotides. NCBI's taxonomy places the organism in Eukaryota, Metazoa, Chordata, Actinopteri, Kurtiformes, Apogonidae. The record is from the annotation of a RefSeq genome assembly.
GGUUUCAUAGUGUAGUGGUUAUCACAUCUGCUUCACACGCAGAAGGUCCUGGGUUCAAGCCCCAGUGAAACCA